This 628-nucleotide ribosomal RNA is filed under the name Escherichia coli. RNAcentral's name for it is "partial 23S ribosomal RNA". It matches the Rfam family "Bacterial large subunit ribosomal RNA", at positions 236 to 905 of the family's 2925-position model. The record is from RNAcentral. Lineage: Bacteria; Pseudomonadati; Pseudomonadota; Gammaproteobacteria; Enterobacterales; Enterobacteriaceae.
UCCCCCAGUAGCGGCGAGCGAACGGGGAGCAGCCCAGAGCCUGAAUCAGUAUGUGUGUUAGUGGAAGCGUCUGGAAAGGCGCGCGAUACAGGGUGACAGCCCCGUACACAAAAAUGCACAUGCUGUGAGCUCGAUGAGUAGGGCGGGACACGUGGUAUCCUGUCUGAAUAUGGGGGGACCAUCCUCCAAGGCUAAAUACUCCUGACUGACCGAUAGUGAACCAGUACCGUGAGGGAAAGGCGAAAAGAACCCCGGCGAGGGGAGUGAAAAAGAACCUGAAACCGUGUACGUACAAGCAGUGGGAGCACGCUUAGGCGUGUGACUGCGUACCUUUUGUAUAAUGGGUCAGCGACUUAUAUUCUGUAGCAAGGUUAACCGAAUAGGGGAGCCGAAGGGAAACCGAGUCUUAACUGGGCGUUAAGUUGCAGGGUAUAGACCCGAAACCCGGUGAUCUAGCCAUGGGCAGGUUGAAGGUUGGGUAACACUAACUGGAGGACCGAACCGACUAAUGUUGAAAAAUUAGCGGAUGACUUGUGGCUGGGGGUGAAAGGCCAAUCAAACCGGGAGAUAGCUGGUUCUCCCCGAAAGCUAUUUAGGUAGCGCCUCGUGAAUUCAUCUCCGGGGGUAG